GUGGGUAACCUGCCCAUAAGACUGGGAUAACUCCGGGAAACCGGGGCUAAUACCGGAUAACAUUUUGAACCGCAUGGUUCGAAAUUGAAAGGCGGCUUCGGCUGUCACUUAUGGAUGGACCCGCGUCGCAUUAGCUAGUUGGUGAGGUAACGGCUCACCAAGGCAACGAUGCGUAGCCGACCUGAGAGGGUGAUCGGCCACACUGGGACUGAGACACGGCCCAGACUCCUACGGGAGGCAGCAGUAGGGAAUCUUCCGCAAUGGACGAAAGUCUGACGGAGCAACGCCGCGUGAGUGAUGAAGGCUUUCGGGUCGUAAAACUCUGUUGUUAGGGAAGAACAAGUGCUAGUUGAAUAAGCUGGCACCUUGACGGUACCUAACCAGAAAGCCACGGCUAACUACGUGCCAGCAGCCGCGGUAAUACGUAGGUGGCAAGCGUUAUCCGGAAUUAUUGGGCGUAAAGCGCGCGCAGGUGGUUUCUUAAGUCUGAUGUGAAAGCCCACGGCUCAACCGUGGAGGGUCAUUGGAAACUGGGAGACUUGAGUGCAGAAGAGGAAAGUGGAAUUCCAUGUGUAGCGGUGAAAUGCGUAGA
Molecule: ribosomal RNA, 592 nt
Filed under: Bacillus cereus
Lineage: Bacteria; Bacillati; Bacillota; Bacilli; Caryophanales; Bacillaceae
Description: bacterial SSU rRNA
Rfam family: Bacterial small subunit ribosomal RNA
Source: RNAcentral